RNAcentral lists this long non-coding RNA (215 nucleotides) under Elaeis guineensis (African oil palm). RNAcentral describes it as "long non-coding RNA (EGUI_LNC076582)". The record is from RNAcentral. Lineage: Eukaryota; Viridiplantae; Streptophyta; Magnoliopsida; Arecales; Arecaceae.
AAAAAUUUGAGAGUGGGGAUGUGAAAAGUUGAGAGUGGGUUGGGCUUCUGUGCGUGAGAAACAGAGGAAGUGUUCUUCCUCUCGAGCACGAGCUAUGAUUUUUAGGGUUUCAAUUCUAAGUUUUGUGAGAAGAAAAUACAAGAGUGAGUCUUGUCCAAUCUUUCACACCACUACCUCCUUGUAAAGUUUCAUCUUCCAAUCCAAAGGAGUCUAGG